RNAcentral lists this long non-coding RNA (474 nucleotides) under Olea europaea subsp. europaea. Lineage: Eukaryota; Viridiplantae; Streptophyta; Magnoliopsida; Lamiales; Oleaceae. The record is from RNAcentral.
CACUAUUUGUAGUGCAAUUAGAAAAAAUUAACGUAUAAUCUAACGUAACAUCUAUUAAAUCUUUAUUUGGUUCUGAUAAAACUCAUAUUUUCAAUAGAUUUCGAUAAAUGUUGAUAAAAUAAUGUCGCGUAGGGGGGCCACCCGAUCCAACUUUCAGGCAUAAAGAUAGAACUUGCCCCAUAAGAGAAAUGACAUGCGGGAACUCACUCCUUUUUUGGGGCUUUCUUACCCAAGGGAUGAAAUCACUCAAAAAAACUGCUCAAAGGGGGGAGUGGGACAGGAACCAUGCUUUCAGAGAAGUGGUGGUCCGAAUUUGAUAAGAACUGCAGGCUAGAUCGGGAGGAGUAGGUAGAGUUAGUUUCUGAAGAAGACAAGACGAAGGGAUCAUAAGGAAAGGCCAGGAUUUUCGCUUAAAAUCGAUUUCCAGGCCGAUGGUUCUAUUAUCCUGCUUGGGUCUCGCUCACGGAUCUCAAC